Molecule: long non-coding RNA, 4563 nt
Organism: Saccostrea cuccullata (small rock oyster)
Lineage: Eukaryota; Metazoa; Mollusca; Bivalvia; Ostreida; Ostreidae
Exons: 2
Source: RefSeq, a predicted model, not a curated record
AUUUAUUUAUCAUAUGUACUAGGAACACGUGCUUUUAUUUAUUAUGUGCUAAUAAUAGCGACAGUAGCUAUUGGUCAGUAUUUAAAGGUCGAUACCUGUAGAACGGGUGAACAGGUAUUCACUUUAAUCACGAUUUUAACUCAUUCGAAGGCUUUGCUUUGCGACAUUCACACGUAUACUUCCUAAUGACAAAAAUUGUAAGGAGACAGGCCCAUCCCUGUUUGGAAAGUCGAUUCUACAACCAGUCUACAAAUUUUAUAUGGCAUUGCAUUCGACAAAGACAUCUAUUCUCUUCAAACAUUCAGUUUACCAUCGAAAAUACAGAGACGGUUCAUUAAACACAGUUCUCGUGGUGAAGUAUCCAGAAUAGCGCAUGCAGACCGAGAAUCCUCAAACCUUAGAUACGUACAUGUAUACCUGAAGUUAUGAUUUUCACGGCUCGACAAAAGACGAGAAGUCCAGCAUUCGUUACAUCAACAGUCAAAGGAGAUUUCACAGUCAUACACAGAGUAAAAAAGGGCCAUUGAAGCAGAAGAUAAGUUUUUAAAAAUAAUGUUUUCAGUUUUUGGUGAUAAUUAAGGUUCAAGUUCAAGAACGCGGCAUUAAUUUAUCCCCGUUUAUUAUUGUAAAAAAAAAAGUACAUAAUGAAAGUAAACACAGACAAGAUACCUUUUCGAUAAGUUAUUUCACCUAUGUCUAUCUUCUUAGAAUUUUCCACUGCUCAUCGGAAGACAAAGGUCCAGAAUCGCCUGAACAGUUCAACAGAUUUUACAUCCAUAAGCAGAGAGUACAUAAUGGUCAUUGAAGUAAAAGAUAAGUAUUUUCGAUAAUACUUAAGUUAUUUAUAAUGAAAACGUUUUGAAUACAAUUGAAUUCAAGUCACUUUAUUACGUAAGACAUACAUUUUAUUGUAUACAAUAUAAAUUUAUAACUUGUAAACAGUAAAGCAUAGCGCAGGUAUUUUUUCUUUUUAACAGUCAGCAUAAUAAUUAUACAAUCAGUAUCAUGAUGAUGGAGAAUAUACAAACCAUUUUUUAAUUGUUUAUAGGGCAGUAUGACAUUCAUUUAAACGCACAGAAUAUGUACCACUUCGAUAAAUGAUUUCGCUUAUGAUUAUGAGAGAGUACCUAGAAUUUACAGCAGGCUUCGAUAUACUGUAUGAAUGAAUUUGUACAUAUGUACAUGUAUGCUUAUUUAACAAACCCUUAAAGACUGAUUUGGAUUUGAUUUCACAACUAAGUUUAAUUAGGUCGGGAGAUUAUAAUUCAGCUUAAUUUUUACAGAUUCUCUUUGCAACACACUCAGCUUCACAUGGAAAACAACAAACUCUAGAUAAAACCUCUAGAUAUAAGAUAGAUGUAUUUUAAAUACUAUCAAUCAAUAAUACAAAAGCCUACUGCUUGUAAAUGAAAUCAUUUCAUUUUCUCGUUAUUAAAUGAAAGAUAGAAGGGAAAAGCUCUGGAUUAAUUUUAUCUCUUUGAAAUUUUUUAAAAAGCUGUUAAACAGUUAAGAAAUGUUAAUUUAUAUUGUUGACUUUCUUUUCUGGUCUAAUGAUAAAUAUCCGAGUAUACUAUAUAUUUCAGUAAAAUAUUAUAAUGAGGUUAUAUGGAAUAUGAUUGAUUGUGUUCAGGUUUUCACGGUCAAAUUUUGAUUCAACUGUGAACGUAUUGAUAUUUAUAAUUAGCCAUAUCAUAUUGUUUUGGACACGACUUGAACAAACUAGAUUUCACUCAUCAGCACUACGACGCAAAUAAAAUUUAAUUUGCAGUUUAUUUUCAAAAGAUAUGCGAUAUUUGAAAACAAGUAAACGUCGGUUGAAGUUGUUACGUGUCGAGGAGCUUUUUGAUUUAGUGUAUAGAUAGCAGUCUAAGUUUUCAAGAACAUACAAGCAUAAAAUUGUAUAUAUAAUUUUUUUUUGGGGAAUACCAGAACGUCUUAAAUAGAAAUAUCUUAACUAUUAUUAUUUUAGGUUUUAUUUUGAAAUAAUCGUAAUGAAUCAUAAAUUUUGAAUGAGGGACGUUUUUAUAUCCCUGUAUUUGAAUCUAUAUUGAACAUUGAACGGUUGUUAUUAUACUUUAUCUGUGUUACAUUGUAUAUAUGAUACUGCUUCGUUAAAAAUUAGAAAAUCGGAUGUACAUGGAAAUGCCGCUCUAAAGGCUCAAGACCCUGUAUUUGUAUCUACAUUGAACAUUGAACGGUUGUGAUUAUACUUUAUCUGUGUUAUAUAUAAUACUGCUUCGUUUAAAAUUAGAAAAUCAGAUGUACAUGGAAAUGCCGCUUUAAAGGCGUAAAAAAUUUAAAAUGUUAUAAAAAUAAUAUCCAUGCACACUGUCGCAGAAUAUAAAAUGAAUAGUGAUCUAGAAGUCGUUAAAUAAUUACAUGUGAAAAAUUCUUUAUAUAGUAUAAUGGAAAAACAGUACUUAAUUGUAUUUCGUAAUAGAAGUUUAUAAAAUAGUUAUAUUUUUGCACAGUUAUGAAGUGUUGGUUUUACUGCACAUGAAGAUUCAGUAUAUAAGAUACAUUUAAUGCACAGUGAUCUUUAUAGUAAUCCUGGUGCUUAGUAUGCCUCAUUUAGUAGAUUUAUCAUUAUGUUCUUGGUGCAUAGCACGUUGCAGCCAGUGAAGUUAGUAAGUUGAUGUUACUGCGUAUGUGACGCAAGUAGAGUUUUCAGGGUGUUUCUGGUGUACAGCACGAUGCAUCCAGUGGAAGUCCUGGUGCAUAGCACGUUGCAGCCAGUGGAAGUCCUGGUGCAUAGCACAUUAUAGCCAGUGAAAGUCCUGGUGCAUAGCAUGUUGCAGCCAGUGGAAGUCCUGGUGCAUAGCAUGUUGUAGCCAGUGGAAAUCUUGGUGCAUAGCAUGUUGCAGUCAGUGGAGGUCCUGGUGCAUAGCAUGUUGCAGCCAGUAGAAGUCCUGGUGCAUAGCAUGUUGUAGCCAGUGGAAGUCCUGGUGCGUAUUGACGCAGCCAGUGUAGUUCUAAACAUUUUUCUGGUGUGUAGCACGUCGCAGCUUGUUAAAGUCUGGUCGAAUAGUAUGUUGUCAGUGAUGUAAUCGUGAUGAUUUCUGGUGCACGGAAUGAUGCAGCCAGCAAAUAAUUUACAGCGAUACUAUGCUAUACAAAUUUGAAUUACAUGUAUUCUAAAAGGAUUGUUGCAAAUUUUAAUUGAUUUUCAGAACUUAUUUACUUUCGGCAAGCAAAUUGAAGGAAAAUGCUUUACGGCGAAAAUUAUGAUGAUUACUUAAGAUAAACAAUCGUCAUUUGUUUUGUUUGGAAUGUAAAGAUGUUUUUUAUUUAAAAUUCCUAAAUGUAUAGGAGAAAUACAUGUUUGCGUUCAAUCUAGCAAAUGGUAAAAUCAAAGUCUAUACCCAAAAAGAAUAAGACAUAAGUUGUAUGGUUCUAUAUACUUAAAAGAAUAUACUGAUGUUUUUGUUUUUGAACGGUCAAUUUUAAUAAGAAAUUAAGUGAAUUGAAGGAAAAUACAACUGUAUUAACAGCGCAUAUUAUGAUAAUUUACAUCUGAUAACAUCUGUCAUGUCUGAAAAAUGAAAUCUUAAAGACUUAUACUUUUAUAAAAGAAAUAUAUGUAUGCGUUCAAUCUUGCUAAUGGUGAAAUCCAUAUCAAUAAUAUAAAACACUAUAUAAGAUAUGAUUUGUUUAGUUUUUUAUGUUUGAUAGCUUAAGAUGGAUGUUUGAGUUAAUUGAACGAAUAAUGUUUGGAGAUUCGAUGUUAUUUUAUGAUACUUAUUCUUUAUCAUUUAUAGAAAUAACAAAACGGACCUGAACAAAAAAAACCAGAGCCCUCUUUCUUUAUGUUCGAAAUAUUGGCAAGCAAGCGCUUCCAUUUCCUAUGUAGACAAGUGUUCUUGUUUUGAUUGUAAAUAAUUUAUGUUCGUUUGAGUGAAACGAAUUAGAACAUAAAUUUAUUUAUCAUAUGUACUAGGAACACGUGCUUUUGUUUAUUAUGUGCUAAUAAUAGCGACAGUAGCUAUUGGUCAGUAUUUAAAGGUCGAUACCUGUAGAACGGGUGAACAGGUAUUCACUUUAAUCACGAUUUUAACUCAUUCGAAGGCUUUGCUUUGCGACAUUCACACCCACCCACCCACCCUCUUACUUACUUCAACCUUUUACUAGUAUUUUGUUUAAUAAAGAAAGUAAUUGUUUUCAUUUCAAGAAAAUUAAAAGUUUUGUACACAACAGAUUAAUUGUCAAAGAUGGGAAACAAUUUGCUUAGUCGCUCUAGAUAAUUUUAUGUAAAAUUUGAUAUAAAUGUAAGAUUGUUGUGUAAGGGUACAUAUUAACUACAUAUAGUCGAAAUGUGUUUACAGAUAGUUCUAACUUACAUUCAUUUUGCAUAGGUUUUACUUAAACUAGUCGAUUAAUUGUACAUUAUAAUAUAUGAUACGUACGUAAGUUUGUGAGAAUGAGUCCGCCAUUCAUUUUGUUUACCUCGCAAUUGCUGCGGACUUACAGGUUUCCAUAGUUUUUUCAACAUAAAUCGAUGUUGUUUUUUAUCUAUGGUUUUUCCUGGGCGGCGAGGGAAGCAUAAUUGUGUUCAUACAUGCAUUA